RNAcentral lists this ribosomal RNA (899 nucleotides) under uncultured Mesoplasma sp. Its description in RNAcentral is "bacterial SSU rRNA". It matches the Rfam family "Bacterial small subunit ribosomal RNA", at positions 537 to 1447 of the family's 1533-position model. Lineage: Bacteria; Bacillati; Mycoplasmatota; Mollicutes; Entomoplasmatales; Entomoplasmataceae. The record is from RNAcentral.
AGCGUUAUCCGGAUUUAUUGGGCGUACAGGGUGCGUAGGCGGUUGUGUAAGUUUGAGGUUAAAUCCCGGAGCUCAACUCUGGUUCGCCUUGAAAACUACAUGACUAGAAUGCAAGAGAGGUAAACGGAAUUCCAUGUGUAGCGGUAAAAUGCGUAGAUAUAUGGAAGAACACCUGUGGCGAAAGCGGUUUACCAGCUUGUUAUUGACGCUGAGGCACGAAAGCGUGGGGAGCAAAUAGGAUUAGAUACCCUAGUAGUCCACGCCGUAAACGUUGAGUACUAGGUGUCGGGAAUCAUCUCGGCGCCGCAGCUAACGCAUUAAGUACUCCGCCUGAGUAGUAUGCACGCAAGUGUGAAACUCAAAGGAAUUGACGGGGACCCGCACAAGUGGUGGAGCAUGUGGUUUAAUUCGAAGCAACACGAAGAACCUUACCAGGGCUUGACAUCCAGUGCAAAGGCAUAGAGAUAUGCUGGAGGCUAACAUUGAGACAGGUGGUGCAUGGUUGUCGUCAGUUCGUGCCGUGAGGUGUUUGGUUAAGUCCAGUAACGAACGCAACCCUUAUCAUUAGUUACUAACAUUUAGUUGAGGACUCUAAUGAGACUGCUAGUGUAAGCUAGAGGAAGGUGGGGAUGACGUCAAAUCAUCAUGCCCCUUAUGUCCUGGGCUACACACGUGCUACAAUGGCUGAUACAAAGAGUCGCAAUCUCGUGAGGAGGAGCUAAUCUCAUAAAAUCAGUCUCAGUUCGGAUUGAAGGCUGCAACUCGCCUUCAUGAAGCCGGAAUCACUAGUAAUCGCGAAUCAGCUAAGUCGCGGUGAAUACGUUCUCGGGUCUUGUACACACCGCCCGUCACACCAUGAGAGUUGGUAACACCAGAAGCAGGUAGCUUAACCGCAAGGA